This 260-nucleotide ribosomal RNA is filed under the name uncultured Leptotrichia sp. RNAcentral describes it as "partial 16S ribosomal RNA". It matches the Rfam family "Bacterial small subunit ribosomal RNA", at positions 96 to 355 of the family's 1533-position model. Lineage: Bacteria; Fusobacteriati; Fusobacteriota; Fusobacteriia; Fusobacteriales; Leptotrichiaceae. The record is from RNAcentral.
UGGCGGACGGGUGAGUAACGCGUAAAGAACUUGCCCUUUAGACUGGGAUAACAGAGGGAAAACUUCUGAUAAUACUGGAUAAGUUAGUAUAUCGCAUGAUAUGCAAAUGAAAGCUACGGCACUAAAGGAGAGCUUUGCGUCCUAUUAGCUAGUUGGUAAGGUAAGAGCUUACCAAGGCGAUGAUAGGUAGCCGGCCUGAGAGGGUGGACGGCCACAAGGGGACUGAGAUACGGCCCUUACUCCUACGGGAGGCAGCAGCC